CCUACGGGAGGCAGCAGUGAGGAAUUUUGCGCAAUGGGGGAAACCCUGACGCAGCGACGCCGCGUGGAGGACGAAGGCCUUCGGGUCGUAAACUCCUGUCAAGAGGGACGAAUGCCGUCGGGACGAAUACGCCCGGCGGUUGACGGUACCUUUGAAGGAAGCCCCGGCUAACUCCGUGCCAGCAGCCGCGGUAAUACGGGGGGGGCCAGCGUUGUUCGGAAUUAUUGGGCGUAAAGGGCGCGUAGGCGGCCUGGUAAGUCGGGCGUGAAAUCCCGCGGCUCAACCGCGGAACUGCGCUCGAAACUGCCUGGCUCGAGUCCCGGAGAGGGUAGCGGAAUUCCCAGUGUAGCGGUGAAAUGCGUAGAUAUCAGGAGGAACACCAGUGGCGAAGGCGGCUUUCUGGACUGACACUGACGCUGAGGAGCGAAAGCCAGGGGAGCGAACGGGAUUAGAUACCCCGGUAGUCCUGGCCGUAAACGAUGGGCACUAGGUGUGGGAGGUUCGACCCCUUCCGUGCCGCAGUUAACGCAUUAAGUGCCCCGCCUGGGGAGUACGACCGCAAGGUUGAAACUCAAAGGAAUGACGG
RNAcentral lists this ribosomal RNA (586 nucleotides) under uncultured Acidobacteriota bacterium. RNAcentral's name for it is "bacterial SSU rRNA". It matches the Rfam family "Bacterial small subunit ribosomal RNA", at positions 338 to 916 of the family's 1533-position model. Lineage: Bacteria; Pseudomonadati; Acidobacteriota. The record is from RNAcentral.